This 850-nucleotide ribosomal RNA is filed under the name uncultured fungus. Its description in RNAcentral is "SSU rRNA". It matches the Rfam family "Eukaryotic small subunit ribosomal RNA", at positions 274 to 1128 of the family's 1831-position model. Lineage: Eukaryota; Fungi. The record is from RNAcentral.
UGGCCUUGCGCCGGCGAUGGUUCAUUCAAAUUUCUGCCCUAUCAACUUUCGAUGGUAGGAUAGUGGCCUACCAUGGUGGCAACGGGUAACGGGGAAUUAGGGUUCGAUUCCGGAGAGGGAGCCUGAGAAACGGCUACCACAUCCAAGGAAGGCGCAGGCGCGCAAAUUACCCAAUCCCGACACGGGGAGGUAGUGACAAUAAAUACUGAUACGGGGCUCUUUUGGGUCUCGUAAUUGGAAUGAGUACAAUCUAAAUCCCUUAACGAGGAACAAUUGGAGGGCAAGUCUGGUGCCAGCAGCCGCGGUAAUUCCAGCUCCAAUAGCGUAUAUUAAAGUUGUUGCAGUUAAAAAGCUCGUAGUUGAACCUUGGGUCUGGCUGGCCGGUCCGCCUCACCGCGAGUACUGGUCCGGCUGGACCUUUCCUUCUGGGGAACCUCAUGGCCUUCACUGGCUGUGGGGGGAACCAGGACUUUUACUGUGAAAAAAUUAGAGUGUUCUUAGCAGGCCUUUGCUCGAAUACAGUAGCAUGGAAUAAUAGAAUAGGACGUGCGGUUCUAUUUUGUUGGUUUCUAGGACCGCCGUAAUGAUUAAUAGGGAUAGUCGGGGGCGUCAGUAUUCAGCUGUCAGAGGUGAAAUUCUUGGAUUUGCUGAAGACUAACUACUGCGAUAGCAUUCGCCAAGGAUGUUUUCAUUAAUCAGGGAACGAAAGUUAGGGGAUCGAAGACGAUCAGAUACCGUCGUAGUCUUAACCAUAAACUAUGCCGACUAGGGAUCGGGCGGUGUUUCUAUUGAAUGACCCGCUCGGCACCUUACGAGAAAUCAAAGUUUUUGGGUUCUGGGGGGAGUAUGG